CAGUCGCCGCGGUAAUACGUAGGGUGCGAGCGUUAAUCGGAAUUACUGGGCGUAAAGCGUGCGCAGGCGGUUGUGUAAGACAGGUGUGAAAUCCCCGGGCUUAACCUGGGAACUGCAUUUGUGACUGGCGGGCUAGAGUAUGGCAGAGGGGGGUAGAAUUCCACGUGUAGCAGUGAAAUGCGUAGAGAUGUGGAGGAAUACCGAUGGCGAAGGCAGCCCCCUGGGCCAAUACUGACGCUCAUGCACGAAAGCGUGGGGAGCAAACAGGAUUAGAUACCCCCGUAGUCCCUGUCUCUUAUAC
Molecule: ribosomal RNA, 301 nt
Filed under: uncultured bacterium
Lineage: Bacteria
Description: partial 16S ribosomal RNA
Rfam family: Bacterial small subunit ribosomal RNA
Source: RNAcentral